GGAUGCGAUCAUACCAGCACUAAAGCACGGGAUCCCAUCAGAACUUCGAAGUUAAGCGUGCUUGGGCGAGAGUAGUACUUGGAUGGGGGUGACCUCCUGUGAAGUCCUCGUGUUGCAUUCC
This 121-nucleotide ribosomal RNA is filed under the name Aegilops tauschii subsp. strangulata. The record is from RNAcentral. Lineage: Eukaryota; Viridiplantae; Streptophyta; Magnoliopsida; Poales; Poaceae.